RNAcentral lists this unclassified non-coding RNA (4389 nucleotides) under Hevea brasiliensis (rubber tree). The record is from RNAcentral. Lineage: Eukaryota; Viridiplantae; Streptophyta; Magnoliopsida; Malpighiales; Euphorbiaceae.
AGUAGGUGGAAUUUAUUCGCCACCGUCUAUGACUUCCCUGUCGGCUUCUUCUUAGCACUUGACUUCUAGAUAAUCAUGAAGACAUUUCAAAAACGCAAGAGAUACCCUUGUUUUUACACUAGCAGAUCCACCAACCUAUAACGGAAAGUAAUGGAGAAUUCAGCUGAUUUUGUAGAGAGAGUUGAUGGCAAUGGGGGAGAGACUAGAAACGACACAACAGCUUCCUUUAGUUAUUCUUCUUCGACGAUAACAUCUGGCUAUCGAUUAUUUGGUCGGCAAUCCUCACUUCAUCAGUUUAUGGGUGGAGGGAAAGGUAUUCUAAAAUAAGAAAAAGGAAAAAGUUAGGGCUUUUUUUUUUUUUGCAUUUUUUUUAUAAUUUUUUAUGUCUUAAUCAAAGAUAAUAAGAAAGCUGCUUCCAGAAUUGUGCUUCUACUUUCAACUGGAAGUUUUUAAAUGGGUUCUCUUGCAUACAGGGAAAAGCGUCUCUUUUGGUUUUGUUUAACUCAUGCUGUUUGGUUCCAUUUACAUUUUGUAAUUGGUUUUUUUUUAGAAUGCAUAAUUAAUAACAAACUCUUAUGUGUUAAGAUAUCUGAAGUUUGAGCAAACUAGUAAUGAAAGAUUAACAUGCUCUUCUUUGUGAGAAUGAAAAAUGACAGCCACUUGAAUUAAAGAAAAUUAUAGAUAUGAUUUCUGGUUUAAAGUGGCAUUUGCUGAAUAAAUUGCUCUUCUACUUUAUUUGAUUUCUGUGGAGGUUAGUAUUGAAAUUGCAUAGUUGAGGUCUUUUUUUCUUCAAGAAUUUUUUUUUUUUUUUAUGCAUAUACUGUCAAUUACAAGUUUGUGUUUCAACUUCUAGACUAACUGUAAUAUUCUUUUUUGUUUCUUUUUUUCUUUCCUGUGAUUUCAUAAAGACCUAUCUUGUUUUCACCAUCACCAUUGUUCAUUUUAUUCUGCUUACUUUUCUAUUGGUUAAUAAGUGAUAAAUGCUGUUUAUAUUGCCACUGUUUUGCGGUUAAAUAUUGAGACAUACCUUAUGUAUGAUUUGGUUGUUGUUUCAAAAUCAAUAAUGAAAUACUCUAAUCCAGAAACUUGUUUUCUUCAAAACUUCAGAAUGUAGAAGUAACAUGAUAGGAGUGCAAGAUGAAUUUGUGUAGUGUACUUUAGUGGUUGUACUACUAUUUUUGCAAUACAGUUUUUAUUUUUAUUGGCCUUUGAUUUUUGAGUAUUUAGCUCCACCCUUAUGUACUUGUAUUUUAACUUAGUUCAUUCAUUCCUCUUCUCUACCAUGCCUCAUUGAUUGAAUUAAAUAUUUGUCACAGAUGCUAACUAGUUGGGGUAGAAGCAUUGUUGAGUGGAGUGUUGCUGGUUGAUCCUUGCUGUUUUGGAAAAAAAAAUCUCAUCAUCUAAAAAUUUAAUGCAAACUUAGGGAAAUUUGUUACUAUUUAUCUUGAUUAUGUUAGAACAUAUGAUAUUAUUUACAUAAUUACUACAUGUAUUGCAUAUUAGUGCACUUGAUAUUCUGCAUGUAUGGAUGUUUGACAAAUUUCUCUUUUAUGGUAGCUGCUGAUGUGCUUUUGUGGAAGCGGCAGCAUGUCUCUUUUGGUGUAAUUGUUGUUGCAACAGUUGCAUGGUUUAUAUUUGAGCGGUCCGGAUUACCAUUCUUAACUAUUUGUUCAGAUGUCUUGCUGGUUGUGAUUGUAUUGUUAUUCGUCCAUGCCAACUUUUCUGCUUUCAGAAAUAAGUAUGCCUGAUACCUAUUACAACUAUUCAUCUGUAAUCCCUUUUUGUUUCUGAAAUCAUUUCUGAUGACAACCACUGUUUAUUUUUUUAAGCAGACAACCACAAUCAUUACCAGAGCUAGUUUUGUCAGAGGAAAUGGUUAAUAAUGCUGCUGCAUCUUUUCGUGUUAAAAUCAAUAAUGUUCUUCUUAUGGCUCAUGACAUCACUAUUGGAAAAGAUUUUAGACUCUUUUUCAAGGUUAGUAUUGAUUAGCAUAAGAUGAUUAAAUAUCUAUAUGCCAUCUAUUGAAGGUUUUUGAGCUUAACAAGGCAUCAUGUAAGCGAUUUGGAUUUAGGUAUCAUAUUUAUAUACUUAAGUUUGCAUGGGGAUAUUUUAGUCUUAUUAAUUUUGUAAUAUCAGUGAUGUUGAAUUCAUUGGUAAAUUCCAUCAAUUUUAAAAGAAUUUGUUCCAGUGUGAAUUCCUUUUAUGUUAACAAACGAAUAGAAGAGGAAUUGCAAAUGAAUUCUUAAAAUUGUGGUCCAAACAUGAUAAGUUCAGAUGCGUGUGGGAUUCUUAUAUUUCUGAAGUUAUGGCAGUGGUGUUGGGUUUGCGAUAGGCUCUUCAAUUGUCAUUUCAUUCGCUUGUUGUUGAGUCUGAUUGCAAGUAUUUGAUUGACUUACUCUAUUCAGCUUCUCAUUUGCGUAAUGGUUUAGCUUUAUUUUGGAUGACUGCUUUGAUUAUCAGAGUCAAUUUCAACAGUGCAGUUGGUCUUUUGCCCCUCGAAAUUGUAAUGCACCAGCUCACUUUUUAGCUACGUUUUGUACUCGUGCAGUGGAUGAACUGAUUUGGAUAGAGGAAUUUCCUUCCUCUAUUUCAUAGCUGAUUCCUGCUGAUGUACCUUUUUCUUCUUGCUAAUAAUAUUUGCUUCGUUUAUUAUCAAAGAAACCUUCCCUCAAGAAUAAUAAAAAUGAAAGGACUCAACGAAUUUUGGGACUUCUUGGUUAUGGAGAAAUGUGAAUCAUCCUUAAAGCCUCAUUACCCUGAGUUACUAGCAGGAAUAUCUGAAGUGGAAUUUCCACUAUGGCCUAUGAAAAUUUUAUGGCGCACACUGCACAGGCAUGAGGUCAGCAUUUGAUAUAGUUGGUUUGUGAGUGAUCCAUGCUAAUCAGCGUAUUUUAGGUCCCAACCCACACCAUUCUGAAGGAUUUCUAUAUUAUUGGAAUAUGGUUCUCAGGAUCUAUGUCAAAAAAAGCUACAAUAUCUAUCUUUCUUGCAUUGUGUAGUGAACUGACUUAGGUCAAUUAUACAAAAGCAUUUUUUAUUUGACAGGUGGUGGUCUGUCUAUGGCUCCUGUCUGCCACUGGUAGCUACUUCUCUUUCUUCACCCUCGCCUAUGCAGGAACCAUCUUAUCCAUUACAAUUCCUGCCUUGUAUAGCAAAUUCGAGGAGCACGUUGAUAAAUACUGUGGGAUGAUCCAUAGAAAAUUAUCACAUCACUAUAAGAUAGUGGAUGAGAGUGUUACUAAUAGAAUUCCUCACAGUUUAUCCAAGGACAAAGAUGAGUAAGUGUGAAAUGCAUACGGAUGAUGGUUGAGUCUGCUUUGCAGUGAAGUUCUAAAAGUUGCCGCCAAGUCUGCCCAGCGUCAUGUUUGGCGAAAUCAUCUAUUUUUGGUCAUGUUAUUUACAGUGAUUUUCCCUCACUAAAGAUGUGCAUCUCUCCCUUAUCUCCAUUACAAUUUCAAUGAACUGAGCAAAGUGUUCAAUAAGCUUCUGCAAACGUGUGAAAUUCUGAAGUUUGGCUUGCUAGGUUUAUCUUCUAUUCAUUCUUAAGGUCUGUAUUUUAAAUUUUAGAGCUAGUUUGUUUUUCAUUCCUGGGGAUUAUUUCCUUGGGAAAGAUGACGAAUCAGAUGGGUUGUGCAUUGAUAAUAGGAUGAAUUGUACAUUGAUCUUCUUAGAUAAAAAAAGAGGAAAUGCCCUAUAAAGAACAGUGGCCAUGUACCACAUACAAGAUCGUGCUUAUUUACUUGAUUUCUGGUAUCGUGUAUGUUACAAACUAGAAGAUGGCAGGACUCGGCUGGAGUUCUUUUUCCUGUAGUUUAUUGUAGACUUGGUUCUGAUUUUUGAAUCUUUCAUUUCCACAUUCAGCAAAUUUUCAAUUAAAUGUUCAACAUCCUUUCUUGUCUUAUAUUUAUGGUGAUUUUAUUUUUCUUCCAAUGCCGCCAAAUGGUUGUGGACUUGAUCAAGAUUGAGCAAAACGUACUGAUGAUCCAGGCUAUGGACACGAAGAGAUUCCUGUGUUCCGCCUAUAUAUAGCACCAGCAGAUUGCAAUGAGCUCUUUUUAGCGUUCAUACACAAUGUCAUAUUUUUUCUUAAUGGUUUAAUUAAAUAAAAAUAUACCUUCCGACAUCAUUAACCUUUAACCAGUUGUCUUCUCUCCCGGACUUGCUGAGCAAAUCUAGCCGACUUCCCUUGCCUCCAAGCAGGGGCAGAUUUCGUUUUGGUUGAAUUGUUUUUGGUUGGUGUUUCUUGUGCAGGUCGACAGUUCAUGGAGAGGGCCUCCUUUAAAGAUCUGCUUAUGGUCUAAAUCUGCUCGAGGCCAAAAGAAGUCUCUCCUUGCUUUGGCUGUUUGCAUCUUCAGGAUUUGAUUCUACAAUACAACUGGAAAGGUCCAA